AUUGAACGCUGGCGGCAGGCUUAACACAUGCAAGUCGAGCGGUAACAGAGAGAAGCUUGCUUCUCUGCUGACGAGCGGCGGACGGGUGAGUAAUGCCUAGGAAUCUGCCUAGUAGUGGGGGAUAACUUGCCGAAAGGUAAGCUAAUACCGCAUACGUCCUACGGGAGAAAGGAGGGGACCUUCGGGCCUUUCGCUAUUAGAUGAGCCUAGGUCGGAUUAGUUAGUUGGUGAGGUAAUGGCUCACCAAGACCGCGAUCCGUAACUGGUCUGAGAGGAUGUUCAGUCACACUGGGACUGAGACACGGUCCAGACUCCUACGGGAGGCAGCAGUGGGGAAUAUUGGACAAUGGGGGGAACCCUGAUCCAGCCAUGCCGCGUGUGUGAAGAAGGUCUUAGGAUUGUAAAGCACUUUAAGUUGGGAGGAAGAGCAGUUAACUAAUAUUUGACUGUUUUGACGUUACCGACAGAAUAAGCACCGGCUAACUUCGUGCCAGCCGCCGCAGUAA
This 506-nucleotide ribosomal RNA is filed under the name uncultured bacterium. RNAcentral's name for it is "partial 16S ribosomal RNA". It matches the Rfam family "Bacterial small subunit ribosomal RNA", at positions 30 to 523 of the family's 1533-position model. The record is from RNAcentral.